GACGAACGCUGGCGGCGUGCUUAACACAUGCAAGUCGAACGGUGAAGCGAGUGCUUGCACUCGUGGAUCAGUGGCGAACGGGUGAGUAACACGUGAGUAACCUGCCCAUCACUCUGGGAUAAGCACUGGAAACGGUGUCUAAUACUGGAUACGACCAACCCUUGCAUGGGGUGUUGGUGGAAAGAUUUAUCGGUGAUGGAUGGACUCGCGGCCUAUCAGCUUGUUGGCGGGGUAAUGGCCCACCAAGGCGACGACGGGUAGCCGGCCUGAGAGGGUGACCGGCGACACUGGUACUGAGACACGGCCCAGACUCCUAUGUGAGGCAGCAGUGGGGAGUAUUGCACAAUGGUCGAAAGCCUGAUGCAGCGACGCCGCGUGAGUGAUGACGUCCUUCGGGGUGUAAACCUCUGUCAGCAAGGAAGAAGCGAAAGUGACGUUACCUGCAGAAGAAGCACCGGCUAACUACGUG
Molecule: ribosomal RNA, 469 nt
Filed under: uncultured bacterium
Lineage: Bacteria
Description: partial 16S ribosomal RNA
Rfam family: Bacterial small subunit ribosomal RNA
Source: RNAcentral